GGGGAAAAAUCAUUCCUAUUCUGGGCAAGGAGCUGAAGAGAUAAUUUGGCAAAAUAAAAUUGACUGUAAUAAGAAAAUCUCAAAAUUAAUUUGCUUUCAUGAUGAUUUUUUUUGAAGUAUAAGUGCAAUUGAUUCAACCUUUCUUGUGUAUGUAUUUGUAAUUCAUUAAAAAGGUAUCUAAAAAAUGAUUCAAGUUUGAUCCACAAAAUACCACUCAAUAGUCUUCUCUAUAAGUGUCAGGGUUAGUGCCAUUAAAUUAAAUUUUACAUACUCAUACAAAAUAUACUUAAAUGUUGUAUCUAAUAUAUAUGGAAUAGCUUUAGAUGUCUUUUUUUUUUUUUUUUGA
This 346-nucleotide long non-coding RNA is filed under the name Pan troglodytes (chimpanzee). RNAcentral describes it as "long non-coding RNA NONPTRT004506". Lineage: Eukaryota; Metazoa; Chordata; Mammalia; Primates; Hominidae. The record is from RNAcentral.